RNAcentral lists this ribosomal RNA (522 nucleotides) under uncultured euryarchaeote. Its description in RNAcentral is "bacterial SSU rRNA". It matches the Rfam family "Archaeal small subunit ribosomal RNA", at positions 357 to 879 of the family's 1478-position model. The record is from RNAcentral. Lineage: Archaea; Methanobacteriati; Methanobacteriota.
GCGCGAAAGCACGAUGAGGGGAUCCCAAGUGCUUGCUCGUAAGAGUAAGCUGUUUUUAUGUCUAAAAAGCAUAGAGAGUAAGGGCUGGGUAAGACGGGUGCCAGCCGCCGCGGUAAUACCUGCAGCUCAAGUAGUGACCGCUAUUAUUGGGCCUAAAACGUUCGUAGCCGGUUUGGUAAAUGCCUGGGUAAAUCGUGUAGCCUAACUAUACGAAUUCCGGGUAGACUGCCAAACUUGAAACCGGGAGAAGCUAGAGGUACUCCUGGGGUAGAGGUGAGAUUCUGUAAUCCUAGGGGGACCACCAGUGGCGAAGGCGUCUAGCUAGAACGGGUUUGACGGUGAGGAACGAAGCCCUGGGGCGCAAACCGGAUUAGAUACCCGGGUAGUCCAGGGUGUAAACGCUGCUUGCUUGAUGUUAGUUGGGCUCCGAGCCCAAUUAGUGUCGGAGAGAAGUUGUUAAGCAAGCUGCCUGGGAAGUACGCGCGAAAGCGCGCGAAAGCGCGCGAAAGCGCGCGAAAGCCA